RNAcentral lists this transfer RNA (72 nucleotides) under Camelus dromedarius (Arabian camel). It matches the Rfam family "tRNA". From Rfam's summary of the family: Transfer RNA (tRNA) molecules are approximately 80 nucleotides in length. Their secondary structure includes four short double-helical elements and three loops (D, anti-codon, and T loops). RNAcentral also lists the same sequence under 1 other name. Lineage: Eukaryota; Metazoa; Chordata; Mammalia; Artiodactyla; Camelidae. The record is from Rfam by way of RNAcentral.
GAGGGUAUAGCUCAGUGGUAGAGCAUGUGCUUAGCAUGCACGAGGUCCUGGGUUCAGUCCCCAGUACCUCCA